GGAGGCUUUGAAGUGUGGACGCCAGUCUGCAUGGAGCCGACCUUGAAAUACCACCCUUUAAUGUUUGAUGUUCUAACGUGGAUCCGUAAUCCGGGUUGCGGACAGUGUCUGGUGGGUAGUUUGACUGGGGCGGUCUCCUCCUAAAGAGUAACGGAGGAGCACGAAGGUUGGCUAAUCCUGGUCGGACAUCAGGAGGUUAGUGCAAUGGCAUAAGCCAGCUUGACUGCGAGCGUGACGGCGCGAGCAGGUGCGAAAGCAGGUCAUAGUGAUCCGGUGGUUCUGAAUGGAAGGGCCAUCGCUCAACGGAUAAAAGGUACUCCGGGGAUAACAGGCUGAUACCGCCCAAGAGUUCAUAUCGACGGCGGUGUUUGGCACCUCGAUGUCGGCUCAUCACAUCCUGGGGCUGAAGUAGGUCCCAAGGGUAUGGCUGUUCGCCAUUUAAAGUGGUACGCGAGCUGGGUUUAGAACGUCGUGAGACAGUUCGGUCCCUAUCUGCCGUGGGCGCUGGAGAACUGAGGGGGGCUGCUCCUAGUACGAGAGGACCGGAGUGGACGCAUCACUGGUGUUCGGGUUGUCAUGCCAAUGGCACUGCCCGGUAGCUAAAUGCGGAAGAGAUAAGUGCUGAAAGCAUCUAAGCACGAAACUUGCCCCGA
RNAcentral lists this ribosomal RNA (653 nucleotides) under Salmonella enterica. RNAcentral describes it as "partial 23S ribosomal RNA". It matches the Rfam family "Bacterial large subunit ribosomal RNA", at positions 2150 to 2802 of the family's 2925-position model. Lineage: Bacteria; Pseudomonadati; Pseudomonadota; Gammaproteobacteria; Enterobacterales; Enterobacteriaceae. The record is from RNAcentral.